CCGGCGAACGGGUGCGUAACACGUGAGCAAGCUUCCGAUUUGUGGGGGAUAGCCGGCCUAACGGCCGGGUAAUACCGCAUACGUUCACUAGGCGGCAUCGUCUGGUGAGGAAACCUCCGGGGCAAAUCGAGGCGCUCGCGGCCUAUCAGCUAGUUGGCGGGGUAACGGCCCACCAAGGCGACGACGGGUAGCUGGUCUGAGAGGAUGGCCAGCCACAUUGGGGCUGCGACACGGCCCAGACUCCUACGGGAGGCAGCAGUGGGGAAUAUUGCGCAAUGGACGAAAGUCUGACGCAGCGACGCCGCGUGUGGGAUGACGCCUUUCGGGGUGUAAACCACUGUUGCCCGGGACGAAACUCCUUUUUCGAAAGGACUGACGGUACCGGGUGAGGAAGCACCGGCUAACUCUGUGCCAGCAGCCGCGGUAAUACAGAGGGUGCGAGCGUUGUCCGGAAUCACUGGGCGUAAAGGGUGCGUAGGUGGCUUGGUAAGCGUGUGGUGAAAGUCCGGGGCUCAACCCCGGAUCUGCCGUGCGAACUGCCGAGCUCGAGCAUUGUAGAGGCAGGUGGAAUUCCGGGUGUAGCGGUGGAAUGCGUAGAGAUCCGGAAGAACACCAGUGGCGAAGGCGGCCUGCUGGGCAAUUGCUGACACUGAGGCACGACAGCGUGGGGAGCAAACAGGAUUAGAUACCCUGGUAGUCCACGCCGUAAACGAUGGGUACUAGGUGUCUGGGGGAGCGACCCCCCUGGGUACCGUCGCUAACGCAUGAAGUACCCCGCCUGGGGAGUACGACCGCAAGGUUGAAA
RNAcentral lists this ribosomal RNA (805 nucleotides) under uncultured bacterium. RNAcentral describes it as "bacterial SSU rRNA". It matches the Rfam family "Bacterial small subunit ribosomal RNA", at positions 95 to 899 of the family's 1533-position model. The record is from RNAcentral.